CAGCAGCCGCGGUAAUACGUAGGUGGCAAGCGUUGUCCGGAAUUAUUGGGCGUAAAGCGCGCGCAGGCGGUCCUUUAAGUCUGAUGUGAAAGCCCCCGGCUCAACCGGGGAGGGCCAUUGGAAACUGGGGGACUUGAGUGCAGGAGAGGGAAGUGGAAUUCCACGUGUAGCGGUGAAAUGCGUAGAGAUGUGGAGGAACACCAGUGGCGAAGGCGGCUUCCUGGCCUGUAACUGACGCUGAGGCGCGAAAGCGUGGGGAGCAAACAGGAUUAGAUACCCUGGUAGUCCACGCCGUAAACGAUGAGUGCUAAGUGUUAGGGGGUUUCCGCCCCUUAGUGCUGCAGCUAACGCGUUAAGCACUCCGCCUGGGGAGUACGGCCGCAAGGCUGAAACUUAAAGGAAUUGGCGGG
This 410-nucleotide ribosomal RNA is filed under the name uncultured microorganism. RNAcentral's name for it is "bacterial SSU rRNA". It matches the Rfam family "Bacterial small subunit ribosomal RNA", at positions 509 to 917 of the family's 1533-position model. The record is from RNAcentral.